Long non-coding RNA from Austrofundulus limnaeus, 106 nucleotides. RefSeq lists it as uncharacterized. The transcript has 2 exons. NCBI's taxonomy places the organism in Eukaryota, Metazoa, Chordata, Actinopteri, Cyprinodontiformes, Rivulidae. The record is from RefSeq and is a predicted model, not a curated record.
AGACUAGAGGUCCACCACACACAGACUAGAGGUCCACCACACACAGACAAUAGGUCCACCAAAUAAGCAAGAGGUCCACCACACACAGACUAGAGGUCCACCACAC